Molecule: ribosomal RNA, 477 nt
Filed under: uncultured Mortierella
Lineage: Eukaryota; Fungi; Mortierellomycota; Mortierellomycetes; Mortierellales; Mortierellaceae
Description: eukaryotic LSU rRNA
Rfam family: 5.8S ribosomal RNA (bases 11-164)
Source: RNAcentral
UCUUAAACAUAACUUUCAACAACGGAUCUCUUGGCUCUCGCAUCGAUGAAGAACGCAGCGAAAUGCGAUACGUAAUGUGAAUUGCAGAAUUCAGUGAAUCAUCGAAUCUUUGAACGCAUAUUGCGCUCUUUGGUAUUCCGAAGAGCAUGCUUGUUUGAGUAUCAGUAAACACCUCAGCCAGAUUCUUUUUCUGGAUGGACUUGAGCAAACCCAACGUGGCCUCAGGCGGCGGCGGGUUGCUUAAAAUGCAGGUGCAGCUGUGACAAGAACAGACUGAGCUAAAAGCAUAUCUAAUUUAGUCCGCCUGGCGGAUUAUCUCUAUUUGCUGCAGUUCAACCAAAAGUCGUCUUGUCGGGCUGACUGAUGCAGGAUUUGUCAGACUUUCUUUCUCUCUCUGAGAGAAGGGCUUCUUUCAAAACUCGAUCUCAAAUCAAGUAAGACUACCCGCUGAACUUAAGCAUAUCAAUAAGCGGAGGA